This 2771-nucleotide unclassified non-coding RNA is filed under the name Leishmania donovani. RNAcentral describes it as "gene:unknown". Lineage: Eukaryota; Euglenozoa; Kinetoplastea; Trypanosomatida; Trypanosomatidae. The record is from RNAcentral.
UUCUUUCUUGCCCUCCUCCACCAUCCACACGUGUGUGUCACACCGCAGAGCGUUGUGUUUGCUUGAUGUCCUCUUUACGCUGUCCCUGUUCGCUUGUGUGUUUGCUUUUGUGUGUGUGUGUGUGCAUGUGUGUGGGUGUGGAGGGGGGGAGGCGCUCUCCUUACUUGCGUAUGUGCGUGCGUUUUCCGUUGCUUUGUGCCUCUGCCUUCCCCUCCCCUCCCCCCACCUCCCUCUAUACUCCAUUUGACCUCAUAUGCACACACGUAUACAUAUAUAUAUAUAUAUAUAUAUGUAUAUAUAUAUCAUGUCCAUGGGCGCGGCCGCAUUAUCCAGUACACACGUACACACAAGUGAUACGCUUCGAUGUAUGUAUGUUUACAUAUGUCUAUGGGUAUGUACAUACAUAUAUAUACACAUAUGCGCAUAUGUAUAUAUGUACGUGUGUGUGGGGGGGGGGAGGGGGGCGACCUCAUUUUUCUCCCUUUCUUUCUUUGUUUUCGUUUUUCUAUGGAAUGAGUAAUGGUUACUUCCUCUCCUCUUUGUUGCCGUGGUCGGUCGACUCGUUUCACUCUUCACCUUUUAGCUUCGUUGCCACCUACCUGUUGUGCGUGUGCGUGUGCGUGCCCCUUUUGACUUGCCUCUCUCCCGCUCUCCCCUCUCCCAAAACCCUCCGUCGCUGUUCCCUCCACCUACAUGCGCUUGAGGUGACGGCACGCGUACGUCUAUGCUGAUGUGAGCCUUGCGGGUGUGGCGGUGCGCGUGUACCAGUUGUAAUGUAUGCUCUCGAAAUAUGUAUGUCGUGAUUGGUUUGUGUUCGCGCACUUUUUUUCGCCCCAACCGUCCCUCUACCCCGUGUCUGCUCCUCCCUCUUGUCGUCCGUGUACUCCCUCCCCUGCGCGUACGCGUGUGUUUCUGUCUGCCUCUCUCGUGUCUCGCUUGUUGUGCGCAGAGUCACCGUUUGUCGGCGCUGCUGAGUGAGCUCACAUACGCCGGGCAUGCCCACAGACAGAUACGUGUUAUUGUGCUGAUCCCUCUCUCUCGAUACGGACAGCUUGUAAGGCUGAGAGCCGACAACAUCGAGAGAAAUCAGCGUGAAGCGCAGUGCGCUUAGUGCUCCCAUCUCUUUCUCUCCAUGCAUCUGACACCUUUUCGAGCGCAACAAAAAAAUGCGAGCGGGAUGUGCAGGUGGUGGUUGAACCGGCAGUAGCGCUGAAGACGUGCGAGGGGGGAAAGGCUAGGAAGAGGAAAAGGAGGGCGAAAGAGAGCAAGCAGCAGUCCUUACAGCUCCCCUGCAAUCUUCUUCCCUCCUCAUUGAGAGCCAUCACUCCCCUCUCCCUUCAUCACCAUCACCACGACUACCACCCCUCCUCUUCCUCCCCCGACACUUACCGCGUGCUCUCCGUGUUCAAGUUAUGGCCUUUCGUUUGUUUGUGUUUUCCGUGUUUUAUUCGGGAGGGGGUUCCUCCUGCGCUCUCUUCUCCCUCCCUCAUCCCCCAUCCCCCAUCCCUCGCUUGUGUCAUGGUGCCUCUGUAUUAGGUUGCUGUUGUUGCUGUCCCUCAUCUGCCGCCUUUGCUUUGUGUUCCUUCCCUCUUCGCUUUUGGUGUCGCCCAUGGAUUGCCUCUUUUGUUGUCGACGCAUUCUAUACCUAUGUAUAUAUGAGACUGGCUGUGCGUGAAUGUGGGUAUGUGUGUGUGCGUGUGUGUGUUUAUGGCUGUGUGUAUGGCGGCUGCCGUCUCUCUCUCCUCCUCCUCCCUAGUCUCUCCUCUCAGGGUUUUCGCUCCCUCUCUCUCUUCCUUCCCUCCUUCCUUCCCCUCGCCCCGCAUUCUGAUUGGCCAGCAGGAGUACAACUACGGCGUGUGUUUGCAUUUUUGAUCCCUACUCCACCCCUUUCCCCCUCUCUUUAUCUUUCCCUCUCAGAGUUGUGCUUCCGCUUCCGUUUUUGUUUUGUAUCAUCACUCCCCAUCGUCUGUUCUCCUUCUUGUGCGUAUGUGUGCGUAUGUGUCUGCUUGCUUGGCGCCCUGUAGUUUGCCGCCUGCACCCCACCCCCACCCCCCACCGCUCUUUGUCGAGGUAGAGAGAGAGAAGGGGGAAUACAACGUAUGAAACAAAAAAAAGGGCGCCGAGCUCUCCGCCACACGCGUGUGUGAAGGCUCGCUGCAUCCUCCACUCCCCCACCCCCCCUCCCGUUCACGUCCGCACUCACACACGCAGACUGCAACGCGCAUAAGCGGCAUGUGCGUUUUCUGCGUGCGAGAAGAAAAAAAAAGAAAAAUGAUGCAGUUGGCCAUUGCGUGCAUCGCCUCUUGAUGUGCAUGAGUGUGCCCCCCUCCCCCCCAAACACACCAUCACCACCACCACCACCACUCUCCCCUCCCUCGGCGUUCGUGUCUGUCGUUCUUGUCUCAUCGCAGUUGUCGCCUGCUCGUCCUUUUCCUUUUCGGUUUUGUUUUAUCGUCGCUCACGUGUUUUGCCCGCUUGUCUGUAUGAUUGCUUUGUGUGUAUGUGUGUGUGUGUGUUCCUCACGUGCUUGCUUCUCCACCGCUCCGUUCUUUCCUCACCCCCUCCUCCCUUUGACGCUGUUUCUGCCGGUGGAGUGGGGAAGGGUGCUAUACACCGCUGCGGUCAUCGCUCGUUCUGCGUUGUGUCGUAUUGGUUUUCCCGUGUCUUGUGGCCCCGUGUGUAGCAAGCAGGCAACAGCAGCGGUACAGGUCUGCGCGCCCGCUCGACCUCGGUCUCUUUGUCCUCAUCUCCGUUGUAUUUCUCCGCCUGUG